CGAAAUGCGAUAAGUAAUGUGAAUUGCAGAAUUCCGUGAAUCAUCGAAUCUUUGAACGCACAUUGCGCCCUCUGGUAUUCCGGGGGGCAUGCCUGUCCGAGCGUCAUUGCGAACCCCUCAAGCACGGCUUGUGUGAUGGACCCUCCCGCGUCUUGGUCGUCAAGACGGGCCCGAAAUGCAGUGGCGGCUUCGCGGUUAUCCGAUCAGCCAGAGCGUAUGGGGACUUUCUCUCUGUCACACGCCCGCGGCGCGGACCGACGCCUGUCGACCUUCAUUCAUCGUUUUCUCGGUUGACCUCGUAUCAGGUAGGGAUACCCGCUGAACUUAAGC
This 330-nucleotide unclassified non-coding RNA is filed under the name plant metagenome. RNAcentral describes it as "partial contains 5.8S ribosomal RNA, internal transcribed spacer 2, and large subunit ribosomal RNA". The stretch from base 1 to 106 matches the Rfam family "5.8S ribosomal RNA", at positions 49 to 154 of the family's 154-position model. The record is from RNAcentral.